RNAcentral lists this transfer RNA (71 nucleotides) under Rickettsiaceae bacterium. RNAcentral's name for it is "tRNA-Gly". It matches the Rfam family "tRNA". From Rfam's summary of the family: Transfer RNA (tRNA) molecules are approximately 80 nucleotides in length. Their secondary structure includes four short double-helical elements and three loops (D, anti-codon, and T loops). Further hydrogen bonds mediate the characteristic L-shaped molecular structure. tRNAs have two regions of fundamental functional importance: the anti-codon, which is responsible for specific mRNA codon recognition, and the 3' end, to which the tRNAs corresponding amino acid is attached (by aminoacyl-tRNA synthetases). tRNAs cope with the degeneracy of the genetic code in two manners: having more than one tRNA (with a specific anti-codon) for a particular amino acid; and 'wobble' base-pairing, i.e. permitting non-standard base-pairing at the 3rd anti-codon position. The record is from RNAcentral. Lineage: Bacteria; Pseudomonadati; Pseudomonadota; Alphaproteobacteria; Rickettsiales; Rickettsiaceae.
GCAGGCAUGGUGUAAUGGCAGCAUAGGACACUUCCACUGUCUUGGUCUGGGUUCAAGCCCUAGUGCCUGUA